GAUGAAGAACGUAGUGAAAUGCGAUAAGUAGUGUGAAUUGCAGAAUUCAGUGAAUCAUCGAAUCUUUGAACGCACAUUGCGCCCCUUGGUAUCCCGAGGGGCAUGCCUGUUCGAGCGUCAUUUCACCACUCAAGCCUGGCUUGGUGUUGGGCGACGUCCCCUUUGGGGACGCGCCUCGAAACGCUCGGCGGCGUGGCACCGGCUUUAAGCGUAGCAGAAUCUUUCGCUUUGGAAGUCGGGGCCCCGUCUGCCGGAAGACCUACUCGCAAGGUUGACCUCGGAUCAGGCAGGGAUACCCGCUGAACUUAAGCAUAUCAUAAGCGGAGGA
This 328-nucleotide unclassified non-coding RNA is filed under the name soil metagenome. RNAcentral describes it as "partial contains 5.8S ribosomal RNA, internal transcribed spacer 2, and large subunit ribosomal RNA". The stretch from base 1 to 120 matches the Rfam family "5.8S ribosomal RNA", at positions 35 to 154 of the family's 154-position model. The record is from RNAcentral.